Long non-coding RNA from Calidris pugnax (ruff), 400 nucleotides. RefSeq lists it as uncharacterized. Lineage: Eukaryota; Metazoa; Chordata; Aves; Charadriiformes; Scolopacidae. The record is from RefSeq and is a predicted model, not a curated record. The transcript is spliced from 3 exons.
AAAAAAAAAAUAAUCCCUUAAUCUGGGCGCAGAUCAGGAUGCUGGAGAGGGGACAUGCAGUGGCUGCUGGAGAUGGCAACACUGGGCUGCAGAGAAGGCCUUUCUUCUGCAGAUCCGUGCUAAAUGUGGAAGUUUAUAGCUGGAAGCCAAAGAAACCUGCUCUAAGGAAGAGCGUGCCAGAGCCACCUCUAGCUGUUUCAAGCGUGCAACACAGGUGAAUCGCCUGCACAAGCUGGGGCAAGCUCCCCAGACACCAAGUGAACUAGCAUGAGAGGAAUAACACAAUUGCUCGUGAAAACUAGAAAAUCGUCACCAAGCAAUUAAUCCAGAUUAGGAACCCUCUGAAAAUAGAAUGAAACCCAUUGUCUCUUUAAACAAGGCACAUUGCACUCCAUUACAG